AUGGGGCUGAGAAGCGGGAUCCCGACGUCCACAGGGGCCGCCGGACAGGUCUGUGUUCUGUGGCCUGCAGACAUUAUUUGGUUAGCACGUCAGUUUUUGCUGCAUCUCCAGUUACCCUUUACUCUGCUCCUCAGUUGUGGGCAGUCGCAGCCCUUGUAUGAGCCUGGGAAGACAGAGCAUGAGCUGUCUGAUGCCAGCUCCCCAGCACCACCUCUCGAGCACAGCAGCCUCAGGCACGCCGUUUUCCUUCCUAACCUUUGGCUUUCUAGUCUGUGGAAUGGGUGUGCAGCCCCAGUUGGCGUGUUGCCUUUCUCAUUAAGGGUCUGUUUUCAGGGUGAAGAGAACAGAGCCUGGAGGGUAAACGUGUGGCAGCUGUUACCGUCAGCAGCAAAGGGAGAAAACAGAAGACAGAAAAGGAAGGAGCACCUCUUGGGAGCAGAGGAAGUUGAAUGUUGGCAUGUGGCCAUUCCUCAUGGAACCCGAUUUGAGAAGCGGACCGUCAGCAGGAACUCUGGAGGCUGCUCGGACCUGUGCACCUCCCUCCAUGUCUCUGUUCACCUGUGCCUCACUCCUUCACGUUGCUGACCAGCUUUCUCGCUUUACUCUGUGAGCACGAGAAGGCUGGGCCUAACCUUGGCAGGUUUACUUUCCUCGUGUGAUGUGACUGGCUAUGUCUGAAUCCUAAUUCCAGACCCCGAGAGAGAGAAUCUGAUCAGAAAAAGUGUUUCCCUUGGUCAAGAAGAGGACCCUGGGGGAGGGAACCUCCCAGAGAAAAGAGGUGUCAUCUAGAAACAUCCCUUCAAUAUGAGUCCUUAUUUAUAGUAUUGUGUGUAUGCAGGCUCAGUCGGUCAAUCGUGUCUGACUCUUUGUGACCCCAUGGACUAUAGCCCGCCACGCUCCUCUGUCCAACGGGAUUUUCCAGAUGAGAAUAAUUUCUAGUGUUAUCCCCAUUCUAUAGAUGAGGAAAUUGAGACCCUGCUUUCCUCACCAAGGUCACAUAGCCACUCCUAACUUUUCUUCUAGAAUGAAGAUUGUUGUGAGGAAAUAAUUUUACUCUGAAAUAGAGAUCUGUGCUAUUCAAGUUGCAGCUGAUUUUAAGGAAGAGAUUUAUCUUUUAAUUGGAACAUAUUGUUGAGCAAUUUUUUUUUACUUUGUAAUUUUGUUAAAAGGAGACACACUUUCUCAAAAUAAAGUGAGAGUAAAUGAGAAUAAAAUGUUCAUAGCAAAGAGAAUGAUUCCUCAAAUAAUCUGGAUUAUAUGUCAUCAUGAAGUUCUGUGGUGUUUCCAUAUUUAAAAAAUAAAUGCAAGAAAUGAACAUGAAGGGAAUAACAGUUAUUUACAAAAAUCUAAGCCACACCAUUCACCCAGAGUUUGAAGUGUCCCAUGACUUUUUGUAAGGAACAAAUUCCUUAAAAACAAACCAGAACUGGAGCCAGGCAUGGAAUGGGACUUCUAGGGAGAAGCUGAAAGUGACCAGGAGUUCCAGAAGUGGUUGUGAGUUCACAGCAGGGUUUUCAAUCAAGUGCUGGGUGUUUUCAAGAUGACAAAGGACAGAGUCACGUUCAUGGCUGGAGAGCACUUUGGUGAGUGUGAGGAGAGAGCAGAACUGUUGUGGAAUCAUGUGUGUGUGUAAAUUUUUCCUUAAAGUCUACUCUGGAAAUCUGGGAGAAGGAGAAAAACUCUCCUUAUUUUGUCUCAUUCCUCCUGAUUUCUGAUCUGACUUUUCUUACAGUUUUGCAGUUUUUUCUUCCUUAAGCCAUUCCACCUGCUUCUCGCCCCUGAAGUACAGCAGUGGAGUCUUCCCAGCUUGAGGGUAUUUCUCUCUUCUGGACUGGACCAUAUUUUGAUUUCUUUUUAAAUUCAAAGGAAACCACCAAUGAGAUGGCAGCUUCGAAACCACAUGAGACAGGACAGAUUUUAAGAGUUUUCUCAUUUCUUUUUUUUUUUUUUUCCUUUUUAAAAUUUAAUUUAAUUUUAUUUUAUUUUUCAACUUUACAAUAUUGUAUUGGUUUUGCCAAGGACACCUGAACCAAAGACGCCACGCUCUCCACCCCCAGCCAUCUGCCUGGAGUCAUCUCAGAAGUCCUGUGUGCUCUGCUUGUCUCGUUCCUGCCGUGGAGAGGUUGCUGGUGGUCUCUGGGCCCAUUCUUUGUAGGCGCUGCCAGGUUCCCUUCCAGCAACUGGGAAAGGGGGACAUAGGUUCCUUUCCCUGGGGCAGAUGGGGCCCAGGAAGAUCCAUCAAGUGACGACUUGAUUCAUCCCACCCUCUCCUUCCC
Molecule: long non-coding RNA, 2276 nt
Organism: Bos grunniens (domestic yak)
Lineage: Eukaryota; Metazoa; Chordata; Mammalia; Artiodactyla; Bovidae
Source: Ensembl